RNAcentral lists this ribosomal RNA (465 nucleotides) under uncultured bacterium. Its description in RNAcentral is "partial 16S ribosomal RNA". It matches the Rfam family "Bacterial small subunit ribosomal RNA", at positions 28 to 507 of the family's 1533-position model. The record is from RNAcentral.
GACGAACGCUGGCGGCGUGCUUAACACAUGCAAGUCGAACGGAAAGGCCCCUUUUGGGGUACUCGUGUGGCGCACGGGGGAGUAACACGUGAGUAACCUGCCCUUGACUUCGGGAUAACUUCAGGAAACUGGGGCUAAUACCGGAUAGGAAUCCUUGCUGCAUGGUGGGGGUUGGAAAGCUUCGGCGGUUUUGGAUGGACUCACGGCUUAUCAGCUUGUUGGUGGGGUAGUGGCUUACCAAGGCUUUGACGGGUAGCCGGCCUGAGAGGGCGACCGGCCACAUUGGGACUGAGAUGCGGCCCCGACUCCUACGGGAGGCAGCAGUGGGGAAUCUUGAACAAUGGGCGGAGGCCUGAUGCAGCAACGCCGCGUGCGGGAUGACGGUCUUCGGGUUGUAAACCGCUUUCAGCAGGGGAGAAGCUUGUGGUGACGGUACCUGCAGAAGAAGCACCGGCUAACUACGUG